GCGGUGGAGUCGCUACAGUCAAGGCGGGCCAGGUGAGACGGCAGCGGAGCCCCCGGGACCGCACGCCGCGCACCCGACACCACUGAGACCCGAGGCAGAGAACCCAUUGUGUCUGAAA
This is a long non-coding RNA of Cydia strobilella, 118 nucleotides long. RefSeq lists it as uncharacterized. The transcript has 2 exons. The record is from RefSeq and is a predicted model, not a curated record. NCBI's taxonomy places the organism in Eukaryota, Metazoa, Arthropoda, Insecta, Lepidoptera, Tortricidae.